AGAGGUGGAAGAAACCCGAGACGCUCCAAAGUCAACGCAAGCAAAGGGGAGUGCGGGUCGGGGAGGAAUAUUCUUUUGGAAACGUAAUAUUGGUCUUGGGGCUCUCCAGCCCUUUGGGACUUCCAAUGAGAUCUUAGAAGCGGCAGAAGCAUCGUGAGGGCGGCAGCCCAGGGCCAGCCACGAUUUGAACGCUCUGCCUUGCAGCUCUUCUGGACCGAGGAGCCCAAAGCCCUGCCCUCACCAUUCACCAGGUGCUGUGGGAAGAGCAGCAUGGAGGUGGGCUGAGGUUAGAAGGUGCAGAGCAUGGAAGAAGAUUGUGGGCUAAGUAUUGGACAUCUGUUCUUGAAUAGUCCCUGAGCCUGCCAUAGGAAAGGAAGUUCUCCUGGGUAAGUGAUUGGACUUUUCCUUCUCCUCUAAUAACAUUUUUUCUUGGGCUGUGGCCGAACCUUAGGAUUCUGGUUCAUCCCUUAUUCAGACCAGGU
RNAcentral lists this long non-coding RNA (482 nucleotides) under Piliocolobus tephrosceles (Ugandan red Colobus). RNAcentral's name for it is "lncRNA (ENSPTEG00000014482.1)". Lineage: Eukaryota; Metazoa; Chordata; Mammalia; Primates; Cercopithecidae. The record is from RNAcentral.